This 2255-nucleotide small RNA is filed under the name Pan troglodytes (chimpanzee). Its description in RNAcentral is "processed transcript". Lineage: Eukaryota; Metazoa; Chordata; Mammalia; Primates; Hominidae. The record is from RNAcentral.
ACUUGGAGUCUUGGAAUAUAUCCCCUGUGGAAACGGGAGACUACCGUAUAUACAUAUAAAAUUGAGAUUUUCAAUUUCUUUUAUAUCGUGCUGUUCCUGGGAAUGGAACCUGCCACUAAGGUUAACAAAACAUGUUUGCUUGUCUCUUUGCUUCUUAAAUCAGGAUGAUAUAGUGCUGGAUCUUGGUUUUAUAGAUGGGUCCAUAUUUUUGUUGUUGAUCACAAACUGCAUUUCUCCUUUUAUCGGCAUGAGCAGCAUCAGCGAUUAUAAAGUGGUAUGCAUAAUUGGUUGUGCAGUUUCUCUUAUAUUCCUCACAUAUGUGCUUUCAUUCAUCUUUCGCAAGUGGAGAAAAAAUAAUGGCUUUUGGUCUUUUGGCUUUUUUAUUAUCUUAAUAUGUGUAUCCACAAUUAUGGUAUCAACUCAAUAUGAAAAACUCAACUUAAUUUUGUGCAUGAUUUUCAUACCUUCCUUCACUUUGCUGGGGUAUGUCAUGUUAUUGAUCCAGCUCGACUUUAUGAGAAACUUGGACAGUCUGGACAAUAGAAUAAAUGAAGUCAAUAAAACCAUUCUUUUAACAACCUUAAUACCAUACCUUCAGAGUGUUAUUUUCCUUUUUGUCAUAAGGUGUCUGGAAAUGAAGUAUGGAAAUGAAAUAAUGAAUAAAGACCCAGUUUUCAGAAUCUCUCCACGGAGUAGAGAAACUCAUCCCAAUCCAGAAGAGCCCGAAGAAGAAGAUGAAGAUGUUCAAGCUGAAAGAGUCCAAGCAGCAAAUGCACUCACUGCUCCAAACUUGGAGGAGGAACCAGUCAUAACUGCAAGCUGUUUACACAAGGAAUAUUAUGAGACAAAGAAAAGUUGCUUUUCAACAAGAAAGAAGAAAACAGCCAUCAGAAAUGUUUCCUUUUGUGUUAAAAAAAGGUGAAGUUUUGGGAUUACUAGGACACAAUGGAGCUGGUAAAAGUACUUCCAUUAAAAUGAUAACUGGGUGCACAAAGCCAACUGCAGGAGUGGUGGUGUUACAAGGCAGCAGAGCAUCAGUAAGGCAACAGCAUGACAACAGCCUCAAGUUCUUGGGGUACUGCCCUCAGGAGUACUCACUGUGGCCCAAGCUUACAAUGAAAGAGCACUUGGAGUUGUAUGCAGCUGUGAAAGGACUGGGCAAAGAAGAUGCUGCUCUCAGUAUUUCACGAUUGGUGGAAGCUCUUAAGCUCCAGGAACAACUUAAGGCUCCUGUGAAAACUCUAUCAGAGGGAAUAAAGAGAAAGGUAUGGGCCGGGCUCGGAGUUUCCCUGUGCACCCAUGGCUGGGUGCCCAUGGGCUGUUCCUUGCAUUGCAGCUGUGCUUUGUGCUGAGCAUCCUGGGGAACCCAUCAGUGGUGCUUCUAGAUGAGCCAUUCACCGGGAUGGACCCCGAGGGGCAGCAGCAAAUGUGGCAGAUACUUCAGGCUACCGUUAAAAACAAGGAGAGGGGCACCCUCUUGACCACCCAUUACAUGUCAGAGGCUGAGGCUGUGUGUGACCGUAUGGCCAUGGUGGUGUCAGGAACGCUAAGGUGUAUUGGUUCCAUUCAACAUCUGAAAAACAAGUUUGGUAGAGAUUAUUUACUAGAAAUAAAAAUGAAAGAACCUACCCAGGUGGAAGCUCUCCACGCAGAGAUUUUGAAGCUUUUCCCACAGGCUGCUUGGCAGGAAAGAUAUUCCUCUUUAAUGGCGUAUAAGUUACCUGUGGAGGAUGUCCACCCUCUAUCUCAGGCCUUUUUCAAGUUAGAGGCGAUGAAACAGACCUUCAACCUGGAGGAAUACAGCCUCUCUCAGGCUACCUUGGAGCAGGUAUUCUUAGAACUCUGUAAAGAGCAGGAGCUGGGAAAUGUUGAUGAUAAAAUUGAUACAACAGUUCAAUGGAAACUUCUCCCACAGGAAGACCCUUAAAAUGAAGAACCUCCUAACAUUCAAUUUUAGGUCCUACUACAUUGUUAGUUUCCAUAAUUCUACAAGAAUGUUUCCUUUUACUUCAGUUAACAAAAGAAAACAUUUAAUAAACAUUCAAUAAUGAUUAAAGUUUUCAUUUUUAAAAAUUUAGGAUGAAGGAAACAAGGAAAUAUAGGGAAAAGUAGUAGACAAAAUUAACAAAAUCAGACAUGUUAUUCAUCCCCAACAUGGGUCUAUUUUGUGCUUAAAAAUAAUUUAAAAAUCAUACAAUAUUAGGUUGGUUUUCGGUUAUUAUCAAUAAAGCUAACACUGAGAACAUUUUACAAAU